GCCAGCAGCCAUAUCACCCUGCAACUCACAACUGGCAACUAAGCAGGUGUGAGCCUGGUCAGUACCUGGAUGGGAGACCUCCUGGGAAAAGCUAAGGUUGCUGCUGGAA
RNAcentral lists this ribosomal RNA (109 nucleotides) under Lepisosteus oculatus (spotted gar). Lineage: Eukaryota; Metazoa; Chordata; Actinopteri; Semionotiformes; Lepisosteidae. The record is from RNAcentral.